CAUGUAUGAUAUUAUGGGGUUUAUGGAAGAACCGGAAUGAAGCAUUGUGGAAUGUGAAAAAAGAUUAGAUCCUUCGGUGCGAGUGAACAUGGCUUCAUUGUUUCUGCAUAAUUGGUUGCUGGCUCAGGUUUUAGGUGUUUCAGGUGAUGAAACACAGGCUAAUUUGGGGACAAAUGCAAGGGAUGUUCGUUGGAGCAAGCCACAGAAAGGUUGGGUAAAAUGUAAUGUGG
This 230-nucleotide unclassified non-coding RNA is filed under the name Hevea brasiliensis (rubber tree). Lineage: Eukaryota; Viridiplantae; Streptophyta; Magnoliopsida; Malpighiales; Euphorbiaceae. The record is from RNAcentral.